RNAcentral lists this transfer RNA (76 nucleotides) under Streptomyces sp. 8K308. RNAcentral's name for it is "tRNA-Lys". It matches the Rfam family "tRNA". From Rfam's summary of the family: Transfer RNA (tRNA) molecules are approximately 80 nucleotides in length. The record is from RNAcentral. Lineage: Bacteria; Bacillati; Actinomycetota; Actinomycetes; Kitasatosporales; Streptomycetaceae.
GGGCCGUUAGCUCAAUUGGCAGAGCGCCGGACUUUUAAUCCGUUGGUUGUGGGUUCGAGUCCCACACGGCCUACGA